This 460-nucleotide ribosomal RNA is filed under the name uncultured bacterium. RNAcentral's name for it is "partial 16S ribosomal RNA". It matches the Rfam family "Bacterial small subunit ribosomal RNA", at positions 338 to 795 of the family's 1533-position model. The record is from RNAcentral.
CCUACGGGAGGCUGCAGUGAGGAAUAUUGGUCAAUGGACGAGAGUCUGAACCAGCCAAGUAGCGUGAAGGAUGACUGCCCUAUGGGUUGUAAACUUCUUUUAUAUGGGAAUAAAAUGUUCCACGUGUGGGAUUUUGUAUGUACCAUAUGAAUAAGGAUCGGCUAACUCCGUGCCAGCAGCCGCGGUAAUACGGAGGAUCCGAGAGUUAUCCGGAUUUAUUGGGGUUAAAGGGAGCGUAGGUGGAUUGUUAAGUCAGUUGUGAAAGGUUGCGGCUCAACCGUAAAAUUGCAGUUGAAACUGGCAGUCUUGAGUACAGUAGAGGUGGGCGGAAUUCGUGGUGUAGCGGUGAAAUGCUUAGAUAUCACGAAGAACUCCGAUUGCGAAGGCAGCUCACUGGACUGCAACUGACACUGAGGCUCGAAAGUGUGGGUAUCAAACAGGAUUAGAUACCCCAGUAGUC